AAUUGUUCACUCAGUUUAAAAAUGUAAGUCAAGUGGACACAUUUUUAAGCAAAAUGUUGAGUUUACACAUAAAAACAAGUUAACUCAAUGUUUACUAUAUUUUUCUCAAUGAACACAAAUAAGAAAGUUGAGCAAACUCAGUAUUUUUAUUUCUUCAUUUGAGCGGUCAACUUGACAUUAUUGCGCAUGCGCAAAGUGCCGUCGCUGAACUAUACAUGGAGUUUACUGCUUCAAACAUAAACAACGAUGGCAAAGGGAGUGGAUGUCUUCUUUUAAGGACACAAAGCCAGAGGAUGUCCACACCAAGGGUAUGAAGAUGAGCAUCUUAACUAUUACUGGAAGAUGAUGUUGUCAUCCACUCAAACCUAAAGGUGCCUAGGAUGUAGUACUAGAGACGCAGAUUGUGUUGGAAUAUAUACAUGGCCUUACCACUGCUGUUGCUGUCCUCUUUGGCUUAAUUUAGAUCAUCCAAAAAAAUGAAAAUUCUGUCAUCAUUUACUCACAGCCAUGUCGAUCCAAACCCAUAAGACAUUUGUUUAUCUUUAAUACACAAAUGAAGAUAUUUUUAAUGAAACCUGAGAUAUUUCUGUCCAUUCACUGAAAAACUAUUCACCUAAAAUUCUGAUGCUUCAAAAUGUUCAUAAAGAGAUUGUAAAACAAAUACAUAAGAAUCGAAUGGUUUAAACAAAGUCUUCUGAAGAGACGUGAUCACAUUACACAUCACGCAUUUCACACUAAAUGCUGCUCCAUCUCUGCAAGUGCUGUGAGUUUGAGUCUUAUAUAACAUGUACUAAAAAAAACCCCAGAAAUUGUAUUAUAUUUUAGUUUUCUAUACAGUGAUAGCUUAAAAGCUAUGUCAAUUAGCACUGCAUUAUAAGUACACUCUAAAAAGAUGGUUCUUUAAAGGUCUAUUUAGAACCGAGUUUAGGUAUUUUUUUUUUAUUCCUGGCUUUUUUAAAAAAAAAAAAAAAAAAAAAAAAAAUUGUAACUGUCAAAACACCUCAUUACUCAUUUUCUGGACAUCAACUAUCCAGCUACACAGACUAUCAACACAGUUUCAACAGGUGAAGUUCUUUCUUACAAUGUCUAUAAAAUGUUAACUUUCAUAUUGUAACUUGUUUCCCAUUGCCAAUAAUGUCUUUUUCUUUUUUUUAGGUUCUUUUUUGUGUGACCAGCUCUGUUCGGUUAAGGAUACUCUCUUCUCCACUAAGUAAUAGAGAUGCAUCAUAUUCACAACCUCAUCAUCUGCAGAGAAACUGCCACUCAAUCACACCACAUCGAUGGGCUUAAAGGCAUCACAGAGGAUCCUGAAGAUACAUUACUCCUGGAAAUUUUGUCAUUUAUUUUCUAUUUCCAUUUUUACUUUCUGAUGUAUUUUUUUCAUGUUCAUUGUCAACUGUCAUUUAUUAUUUGUAUUUAGCCAAUAACUGUUUUUAGAGCAUUUUCAUUUUUGCUUCAAGUUCAUGUCAAUUAAAAAAAUAAAAAGUACCUAACUAAAACUACAUGCUGUUUUGUUUAGUUUUUGUGUGAGUGUGUAAAACCCUAAUACAGGCUAAAAUACAUUAUAGGAAAAACAAAAAUGUUAAUAGAUAAUAUAUGUAAAUAAUAUUAAUAAGUAAAACUAGUAUCAAAGGUAUAAAUAUACUAAUAUUAAUGAAAAUAAACUAUUUUCAAAUGUACUAUUUUCUAAAUCCUAUUUCAUGCAUCCCUACAAUUGCGUCUCUUCAGGAGACUUCAACUGCUCAAUUCAUAUUAACUUAUAUAUUUAUUUAAUUAUUUAUGAUCUCUUUAUGAACGCUUUGAAGUUUUGGGUGAACAGCCUUUCAAUACAGAAGUCUCUCAAAUUUCAUUAAAAUAUUUUAAUUUGUGUUGAGUGUGAACAACGGUUUAGAACAACAUGGGAGUGAGUAAAUGAUAAAUUUUCAGAAUAAUUUUGGUUGAAUUAUUCCUUUAAGUGUUGUGUUAAUAGUUGAAAUAUUUUGUUUCUUG
Long non-coding RNA from Labeo rohita (rohu), 1989 nucleotides. RefSeq lists it as uncharacterized. The record is from RefSeq and is a predicted model, not a curated record. The transcript is spliced from 3 exons. Lineage: Eukaryota; Metazoa; Chordata; Actinopteri; Cypriniformes; Cyprinidae.